Molecule: ribosomal RNA, 253 nt
Filed under: uncultured bacterium
Lineage: Bacteria
Description: partial 16S ribosomal RNA
Rfam family: Bacterial small subunit ribosomal RNA
Source: RNAcentral
UACGGGGGGGGCAAGCGUUGUUCGGAAUUACUGGGCGUAAAGGGCUCGUAGGCGGCCAACUAAGUCAGACGUGAAAUCCCUCGGCUUAACCGGGGAACUGCAUCUGAUACUGGAUGGCUUGAGAUUGGGAGAGGGAUGCGGAAUUCCAGGUGUAGCGGUGAAAUGCGUAGAUAUCUGGAGGAAUACCGGUGGCGAAGGCAAUCCCCUGGGCCUGCACUGACGCUCAUGCACGAAAGCGUGGGGAGCAAACAGG